UACGUAGGGCGCAAGCGUUGUCCGGAAUUAUUGGGCGUAAAGAGCUCGUAGGCGGUUUGUCGCGUCUGCUGUGAAAACCUAAGGCUCAACCUUGGGCUUGCCAGUGGGUACGGGCAGACUAGAGUGCGGUAGGGGUGACUGGAAUUCCUGGUGUAGCGGUGAAAUGCGCAGAUAUCAGGAGGAACACCGGGUGGCGAAGGCGGGUCUCUGGGCC
Molecule: ribosomal RNA, 214 nt
Filed under: uncultured bacterium
Lineage: Bacteria
Description: partial 16S ribosomal RNA
Rfam family: Bacterial small subunit ribosomal RNA
Source: RNAcentral